GGUCAUGAGUACCAGCGCGUAGCCCCGGCUCGCUGGUCGGCAACCCUUCGUCCGCGAUGGGGUGCCCCGGGUGAAGACCGGGCCGCGCGGUAGGCGCGCGGCAAGCGCGGAUU
Molecule: non-coding RNA, 113 nt
Filed under: Actinospica robiniae
Lineage: Bacteria; Bacillati; Actinomycetota; Actinomycetes; Catenulisporales; Actinospicaceae
Also listed under: 1 other name
Description: SAM-IV sequence
Rfam family: SAM (S-adenosyl methionine) riboswitch aptamer
About the family: SAM-IV is a mRNA element that regulates gene expression via direct sensing of S-adenosylmethionine (SAM or AdoMet). SAM-IV riboswitches share conserved nucleotide positions with the previously described SAM-I riboswitches sequence analysis and molecular recognition experiments suggest that SAM-I and SAM-IV riboswitches share similar ligand binding sites, but have different scaffolds.
Source: RNAcentral